GAUGAACGCUCGCUGUGUGCCUAAUACAUGCAUGUUGAACGGGAUGUAGCAAUACAUUCAGUAGCGAAUGGGUGAGUAACACGUACCUAACCUACCUUUAAGACUGGGAUAACUAUUGGAAACAAUAGCUAAUACCGGAUAUAGUUAUUUAUCGCAUGAUGAGUAAUAGAAAGGAGCUUCACAGCUUCACUUAAAAAUGGGGGUGCGGAACAUUAGUUAGUUGGUAGGGUAAUGGCCUACCAAGACGAUGAUGUUUAGCCGGGCCGAGAGGCUGUACGGCCACACUGGGACUGAGAUACGGCCCAGACUCCUACGGGAGGCAGCAGUAAGGAAUUUUCCACAAUGAGCGAAAGCUUGAUGGAGCGACACAGCGUGCAGGAUGAAGUUCUUCGGAAUGUAAACUGCUGUUAUAAGGGAAGAAAAAAUAGAAUAGGAAAUGAUUUUAUCUUGACGGUACCUUAUUAGAAAGCGACGGCAAACUAUGUGCCAGCAGCCGCGGUAAUACAUAGGUCGCAAGCGUUAUCCGGAAUUAUUGGGCGUAAAGCGUCCGUAGGUUUUUUGCUAAGUCUGGAGUUAAAUGCUGAAGCUCAACUUCAGUCCGCUUUGGAUACUGGCAAAAUAGAAUUAUAAAGAGGUUAGCGGAAUUCCUAGUGGAGCGGUGGAAUGCGUAGAUAUUAGGAAGAACACCAAUAGGCGAAGGCAGCUAACUGGUUAUAUAUUGACACUAAGGGACGAAAGCGUGGGGAGCAAACAGG
RNAcentral lists this ribosomal RNA (755 nucleotides) under uncultured Mycoplasma sp. Its description in RNAcentral is "bacterial SSU rRNA". It matches the Rfam family "Bacterial small subunit ribosomal RNA", at positions 28 to 776 of the family's 1533-position model. Lineage: Bacteria; Bacillati; Mycoplasmatota; Mollicutes; Mycoplasmatales; Mycoplasmataceae. The record is from RNAcentral.